GGACAUUGUGAAAAGAAACCAUAUAUGACCAGGAAGUACACACUCACCAGACACUAAACCUGCUUACUGCUGCCUUGACUUUGAACUUUUCAGCCUCCAGAACUGCAGGUCCUUCAGGAGGUGUCCAGAAGAAAGUAUUGUUAUCACAGGAGAUGACAGCUCCAUGCAUGUUAUUUUCCCCGGAAGACCUCCCAGUGGGACAAGAUGUGGAGGUGGAAGACAGUGAUACUGACAAUGCUGACCUGUGUGGGCCUUGGCUAGUGUAUGUGUUUCUGUCUUAGUUUUUAACAAAAAGUUUAAAAAGUAAAUAAUAAAAUUAAGAUUUAAAAACAGAAAACAGCAUAUAGAAUAAAAAUAUAAAGAAAGG
Molecule: long non-coding RNA, 367 nt
Filed under: Homo sapiens (human)
Lineage: Eukaryota; Metazoa; Chordata; Mammalia; Primates; Hominidae
Description: HSALNT0122535
Source: RNAcentral